RNAcentral lists this ribosomal RNA (886 nucleotides) under Otostigmus politus politus. RNAcentral describes it as "partial large subunit ribosomal RNA". It matches the Rfam family "Eukaryotic large subunit ribosomal RNA", at positions 224 to 791 of the family's 3401-position model. The record is from RNAcentral. Lineage: Eukaryota; Metazoa; Arthropoda; Chilopoda; Scolopendromorpha; Scolopendridae.
UUUGGCUUCUCGUCGUGUCUGUCGGACGGCUCUCUCCCUGGAGUCGGGUUGCUUGAGAGUGCAGCCCUAAGCGGGUGGUAAACUCCACCUAAGGCUAAAUACUUCCACGAGACCGAUAGCAAACAAGUACCGUGAGGGAAAGUUGCAAAGAACUUUGAAGAGAGAGUUCAAGAGUACGUGAAACCGCUCGGAGGCAAACGGGUGGGCCCUCGAAGGUCGAACGGGGGGAUUCAACCCGUCCGCACGAACACGUCGCCAGCCACGGAUGGCGGGGUCGGAGCAAGGGGUCUCGUGCCUCUCUGUUCCUCCCGUCGAACGGAUCCGUCAAAGACCGGUCCGUGGCGAAAGCUCGAAGGCGGCAGCGGGCGGGCGCACUUCCCCCUCAGUAGGACGCCGCGACCGGUCGGGUCGCACGAAAAAUGCGGUCAUGCAGCAGGACAACGGCAGGUAUCCGUUGCCGGCGUUCUCUUUCCUCUCAGGGUUGGAAACGUCGGUCGGAGUUACAGCCCGUUUUGCUUCGGCCGCUACCCGACCGUGGUCUCGCGCGCCCGCGCUCGGCGCGCGGUUCGUCCGCUCGGCAGGCCGAACCCUCAGGUACCGAUCGCCCCUGGCUUGGCGGUCGGCUGUCCUGUUGGCGGUUCGCCGGUGGUUGGGCGUAGCCGCUCCCGUGGUGGCGCUUGCGGUCAGCGGCGAGUAGGUCGGUCACCCACCCGACCCGUCUUGAAACACGGACCAAGGAGUCUAACAUGUGCGCGAGUCACAGGGUUAACUCGCUAAAAAGCACACAACCCUAAGGCGUAAUGAAAGUGAAGGUCAGACCUAGCACUGACCGAGGCAGGAUCCGACCGGGUGAGCGAAGCUCUUCUUCCUUUCGCGGGAUUCGUCC